Molecule: ribosomal RNA, 215 nt
Filed under: uncultured bacterium
Lineage: Bacteria
Description: partial 16S ribosomal RNA
Rfam family: Bacterial small subunit ribosomal RNA
Source: RNAcentral
UACGGAGGGGGCAAGCGUUGUUCGGAAUCAUUGGGCGUAAAGGGCUCGUAGGCGGACUAGUAAGUCUGGCGUGAAAUCUCCACCGCUCACCGGGGAGAGGUCGCUGGAUACUGCUAGUCUUGAGUUCGGUAGAGGGUCGUGGAAUUUCGGGUGUAGCGGUGGAAUGCGUAGAUAUCCGAAAGAACACCGGUGGCGAAGGCGGCGACCUGGGCCUG